Neopelma chrysocephalum (saffron-crested tyrant-manakin) is the source of this 499-nucleotide long non-coding RNA. RefSeq lists it as uncharacterized. The record is from RefSeq and is a predicted model, not a curated record. Lineage: Eukaryota; Metazoa; Chordata; Aves; Passeriformes; Pipridae. The transcript has 3 exons.
AGCUUGACCAAAGCAUGCUAAGGACAGUAUUCUAGCACUGUACAUUUAGCUCUGGGUUUUAAGCUCUGGCUUGUUUUAGUUGUGAAAUAGGUUUUUCCCUCGUGUGAGCACAGCUAGUGGAAGGCAAUGCCUGCCCAGGGCAAGGAGCUGUGUGGUGUAAUGCACCGAUCCCUUUUUGGGUCUCUCCUGGGGUGAGAAUUACCGCUCUCUCCCAGACUUGAGCAUCCAGCUAGAGUGAAAAGGCUCCAGUAUUCCUUCUGUGCCCACCAGCAUGCGGACAAGAUCAUCCAUCAUCUGCGAGAUCUCUGCUUUCCUUUUCCUCCUCGGAUCCCUGCAGCGAUGCCAUACUGGGGAGCCUUGAGUGGAAAGAGGAGAGACCCAAGCAAGCCCUGGUUGCCAGCAUAGGCUGCCCACUUCUGGGCAAAUCCUCAGAGAAAAGACCCCUGUAGAAAUAUCACCAGUGGAAGCAGUGUUUGCUCGUUACUUUGUGGGAGACUGU